Molecule: long non-coding RNA, 414 nt
Filed under: Elaeis guineensis (African oil palm)
Lineage: Eukaryota; Viridiplantae; Streptophyta; Magnoliopsida; Arecales; Arecaceae
Description: long non-coding RNA (EGUI_LNC068535)
Source: RNAcentral
GUAAUUGCGACUAUUCAACCUAUCCGAUCAUCGGGUACCAUUGCUAGAUGGUCACUUCGAUUAGUACAGGAAUUGGUUCCUGUGCUACCGACUUAGGUUCGAACCUGCGGGGUCACACACAUUAGAGGUUUCUAUCUGAUCUGAUGGCUGAUGAAGAGUCCUAAUAUUCAUGGACUAUGAGUCCUACGUGUCUGAGACUCUGUGAUCAAGAAUCAGGAUUCUCUGAUCACAAGUCCCGCAUAUUUUGGGUACCGGGGUCAAGAGUCCCACUGGUUUGGGACUCUUCGAUCAAGGUUUCAUAUUGAUGAACUUUGAUACCCGAUUGUCCAUCGAAUUUGGAUUCAAUAUUUAUGAGAGAUUUAAUUAAUGAUUUGAUCACUAAUUAACUCAAUUUGAUUGAGUAAUUAUUUUUGG